CCUACGGGACGCAGCAGUGAGGAAUAUUGGUCAAUGGGCACGAGCCUGAACCAGCCAAGUAGCGUGAAGGAUGACUGCCCUACGUGUUGUAAACUUCUUUUAUAAAGGAAUAAAGUGAGGCACGUGUGCCUUUUUGUAUGUACUUUAUGAAUAAGGAUAGGCUAACUCCGUGCCAGCAGCCGCGGUAAUACGGGGGAUCCGAGCGUUAUCCGGAUUUAUUGGGUUUAAAGGGAGCGUCGAUGGGUUGUUAAGUAAGUUGUGAAAGUUUGCGGCUCAACCGUAAAAUUGCAAUUGACACUGGCAGUCGUGAGUACAGUUGAGGUAGGCGGAAUUCGUGGUGUAGCGGUGCAAUGCUUAGAUAUCACGAAGAACUCCGAUUGCGAAGGCAGCUUACUAAACUGCCACUGACAUUGAUGCUCGAAAGUGUGGGUAUCAAACAGGAGUAGAUACCCUUGUAGUC
RNAcentral lists this ribosomal RNA (460 nucleotides) under uncultured bacterium. RNAcentral describes it as "partial 16S ribosomal RNA". It matches the Rfam family "Bacterial small subunit ribosomal RNA", at positions 338 to 795 of the family's 1533-position model. The record is from RNAcentral.